AUUGAACGCUGGCGGCAUGCCUUACACAUGCAAGUCGAACGGCAGCACGGGUGCUUGCACCUGGUGGCGAGUGGCGAACGGGUGAGUAAUACAUCGGAACAUGUCCUGUAGCGGGGGAUAGCCCGGCGAAAGCCGGAUUAAUACCGCAUACGAUCUACGGAUGAAAGCGGGGGACCUUCGGGCCUCGCGCUAUAGGGUUGGCCGAUGGCUGAUUAGCUAGUUGGUGGGGUAAAGGCCUACCAAGGCGACGAUCAGUAGCUGGUCUGAGAGGACGACCAGCCACACUGGGACUGAGACACGGCCCAGACUCCUACGGGAGGCAGCAGUGGGGAAUUUUGGACAAUGGGCGAAAGCCUGAUCCAGCAAUGCCGCGUGUGUGAAGAAGGCCUUCGGGUUGUAAAGCACUUUUGUCCGGAAAGAAAUCCUUGGCCCUAAUACGGUCGGGGGAUGACGGUACCAGAAGAAUAAGCACCGGCUAACUACGUG
This 486-nucleotide ribosomal RNA is filed under the name uncultured bacterium. Its description in RNAcentral is "partial 16S ribosomal RNA". It matches the Rfam family "Bacterial small subunit ribosomal RNA", at positions 30 to 507 of the family's 1533-position model. The record is from RNAcentral.